This 700-nucleotide ribosomal RNA is filed under the name Enterobacter cloacae. RNAcentral describes it as "bacterial SSU rRNA". It matches the Rfam family "Bacterial small subunit ribosomal RNA", at positions 40 to 728 of the family's 1533-position model. Lineage: Bacteria; Pseudomonadati; Pseudomonadota; Gammaproteobacteria; Enterobacterales; Enterobacteriaceae. The record is from RNAcentral.
GGGAUGGCGCAGCUACACAUGCAGUCGAACGGUAGCACAGAGAGCUUGCUCCUCGGGUGACGAGUGGCGGACGGGUGAGUAAUGUCUGGGAAACUGCCUGAUGGAGGGGGAUAACUACUGGAAACGGUAGCUAAUACCGCAUAACGUCGCAAGACCAAAGAGGGGGACCUUCGGGCCUCUUGCCAUCAGAUGUGCCCAGAUGGGAUUAGCUAGUAGGUGGGGUAACGGCUCACCUAGGCGACGAUCCCUAGCUGGUCUGAGAGGAUGACCAGCCACACUGGAACUGAGACACGGUCCAGACUCCUACGGGAGGCAGCAGUGGGGAAUAUUGCACAAUGGGCGCAAGCCUGAUGCAGCCAUGCCGCGUGUAUGAAGAAGGCCUUCGGGUUGUAAAGUACUUUCAGCGGGGAGGAAGGUGUUGUGGUUAAUAACCGCAGCAAUUGACGUUACCCGCAGAAGAAGCACCGGCUAACUCCGUGCCAGCAGCCGCGGUAAUACGGAGGGUGCAAGCGUUAAUCGGAAUUACUGGGCGUAAAGCGCACGCAGGCGGUCUGUCAAGUCGGAUGUGAAAUCCCCGGGCUCAACCUGGGAACUGCAUUCGAAACUGGCACGCUGGAGUCUUGUAAAGGGGGGUAGAAUUCCCCGUGUGGCGCUGACAUGCGUACAGAUCUGGAGAAGGACCGGAGGCCAAGGCGGCCCC